Molecule: ribosomal RNA, 506 nt
Filed under: uncultured bacterium
Lineage: Bacteria
Description: partial 16S ribosomal RNA
Rfam family: Bacterial small subunit ribosomal RNA
Source: RNAcentral
AGUGAACGCUGGCGGUAGGCCUAACACAUGCAAGUCGAACGGCAGCACAGGAGAGCUUGCUCUCUGGGUGGCGAGUGGCGGACGGGUGAGGAAUACAUCGGAAUCUACUUUUUCGUGGGGGAUAACGUAGGGAAACUUACGCUAAUACCGCAUACGACCUACGGGUGAGAGCAGGGGACCUUCGGGCCUUGCGCGAUUGAAUGAGCCGAUGUCGGAUUAGCUAGUUGGCGGGGUAAAGGCCCACCAAGGCGACGAUCCGUAGCUGGUCUGAGAGGAUGAUCAGCCACACUGGAACUGAGACACGGUCCAGACUCCUACGGGAGGCAGCAGUGGGGAAGAGUGGACAAUGGGCGCAAGCCUGAUCCAGCCAUACCGCGUGGGUGAAGAAGGCCUUCGGGUUGUAAAGCCCUUUUGUUGGGAAAGAAAUCCAGCUGGCUAAUACCCGGUUGGGAUGACGGUACCCAAAGAAUAAGCACCAGCUAACUUCGUGCCAGCCGCCGCAGUAA